Molecule: ribosomal RNA, 242 nt
Filed under: uncultured bacterium
Lineage: Bacteria
Description: partial 16S ribosomal RNA
Rfam family: Bacterial small subunit ribosomal RNA
Source: RNAcentral
UGAGCGGCGGACGGGUGAGUAACGCGUGGGUAACCUGCCUCAUACAGGGGGAUAACAGUUAGAAAUGACUGCUAAUACCGCAUAAGACCACGGUACCGCAUGGUACAGUGGUAAAAACUCCGGUGGUAUGAGAUGGACCCGCGUCUGAUUAGGUAGUUGGUGGGGUAACGGCCUACCAAGCCGACGAUCAGUAGCCGACCUGAGAGGGUGACCGGCCACAUUGGGACUGAGACACGGCCCAG